UACGUAGGGUGCAAGCGUUAAUCGGAAUUACUGGGCGUAAAGCGUGCGCAGGCGGUUUUGUAAGUUUGUCGUGAAAGCCCCGGGCUCAACCUGGGAAUUGCGAUGAAGACUGCAAGGCUUGAAUCUGGCAGAGGGGGGGUAGAAUUCCACGUGUAGCAGUGAAAUGCGUAGAGAUGUGGAGGAACACCGAUGGCGAAGGCAGCCCCCUGGGUCAAGAUUGACGCUCGAUGCACGAAAGCGUGGGGAGCAAACAGG
RNAcentral lists this ribosomal RNA (255 nucleotides) under uncultured bacterium. RNAcentral's name for it is "partial 16S ribosomal RNA". It matches the Rfam family "Bacterial small subunit ribosomal RNA", at positions 524 to 776 of the family's 1533-position model. The record is from RNAcentral.